Molecule: microRNA, 21 nt
Filed under: Equus caballus (horse)
Lineage: Eukaryota; Metazoa; Chordata; Mammalia; Perissodactyla; Equidae
Description: eca-miR-9087
Source: miRBase by way of RNAcentral
UUGAGAUCCAGGACGCUGAGG